RNAcentral lists this ribosomal RNA (459 nucleotides) under uncultured bacterium. Its description in RNAcentral is "partial 16S ribosomal RNA". It matches the Rfam family "Bacterial small subunit ribosomal RNA", at positions 338 to 795 of the family's 1533-position model. The record is from RNAcentral.
CCUACGGGUGGCAGCAGUGAGGAAUAUUGGUCAAUGGCCGGAAGGCUGAACCAGCCAAGCCGCGUGAAGGACGAAGGUGCCAAGCAUUGUAAACUUCUUUUGUCAAGGGACAAAAUCAGGCUCGAGAGCCUGACCGAGGGUACUUGAAGAAAAAGCAUCGGCUAACUCCGUGCCAGCAGCCGCGGUAAUACGGAGGAUGCGAGCGUUAUCCGGAUUUAUUGGGUUUAAAGGGUGCGUAGGCGGGCUGUUAAGUCAGCGGUAAAAUCCCGGGGCGCAACCCUGUCGAGCCGUUGGAACUGGCAGUCUUGAGUGGGCGAGAAGUAUGCGGAAUGCGUGGUGUAGCGGUGAAAUGCAUAGAUAUCACGCAGAACGCCGAUUGCGAAGGCAGCAUACCGGCGCCCGACUGACGCUGAGGCACGAAAGUGUGGGGAUCGAACAGGAUUAGAUACCCCAGUAGUC